Molecule: long non-coding RNA, 397 nt
Organism: Parus major (Great Tit)
Lineage: Eukaryota; Metazoa; Chordata; Aves; Passeriformes; Paridae
Exons: 3
Source: RefSeq, a predicted model, not a curated record
GCUACCUUAAAGGUAAAGUCACCCCAUGACAAACCUACAUCUACAUUUGUGAGUUGUGAUUCUCUUUCACAACUAAAGAAAAUCUCUGUCCUACAGCAGUGGUUUCUUUCUGAGCAACCCCUACAUCAUCUACAAAGUGAUUACCCUUUAAAUGGAAUUAUUGAAAUUAAGAACAGUGAGACAUUUUGACCCAGAUCUCAGUUUACAGAAGAAUGAUGCUGCACAGACUAUGCUCCCUGAUCGCACGUCCCUGAGGCAUAUGGUGUGAUUCCUGGGCCAGAAGCUGGACUUACAAUAUCCUUGUGGGUAUCUUCCAACUUGGGAUAUUCUAUAAAUAAAUGAAAAAUGAAGCAAAGAAGGCAAAGGAGAGAAGAAAGAAAGAGAGAGAGAAAAAGGA